Ceratotherium simum simum (southern white rhinoceros) is the source of this 150-nucleotide non-coding RNA. Lineage: Eukaryota; Metazoa; Chordata; Mammalia; Perissodactyla; Rhinocerotidae. The record is from RefSeq and is a predicted model, not a curated record.
UUUUUAAUAAGUCUUUCAAGAAAAUUAAGUCAAGAAAGGCUGAAUAUUAAACAACUUAUACAAAGAAAGAAGCCGCUUAAGUGGAAGUAGGCCCGGAAUUUAAACGAGAGCAACCUGAAAGGAGACAGCGAAACUUACUCCAAACCGUUC